AUUGAACGCUGGCGGCAUGCUUUACACAUGCAAGUCGAACGGCAGCACGGGUGCUUGCACCUGGUGGCGAGUGGCGGACGGGUGAGUAAUACAUCGGAACGUGUCCAGAAGAGGGGGAUAACGCAUCGAAAGAUGUGCUAAUACCGCAUAUGCUCUGAGGAGGAAAGUGGGGGAUCGAAAGACCUUACGCUUUUGGAGCGGCCGAUGUCUGAUUAGCUAGUUGGUGGGGUAAGGGGCCUACCAAGGCGACGAUCAGUAGUUGGUCUGAGAGGACGACCAGCCACACUGGGACUGAGACACGGCCCAGACUCCUACGGGAGGCAGCAGUGGGGAAUUUUGGACAAUGGGCGCAAGCCUGAUCCAGCAAUGCCGCGUGAGUGAAGAAGGCCUCGGUUGUAAGACUCUUUCUAGUCGAGAAGAAAAGGAC
This 427-nucleotide ribosomal RNA is filed under the name uncultured bacterium. RNAcentral's name for it is "bacterial SSU rRNA". It matches the Rfam family "Bacterial small subunit ribosomal RNA", at positions 30 to 455 of the family's 1533-position model. The record is from RNAcentral.